RNAcentral lists this non-coding RNA (28 nucleotides) under Homo sapiens (human). The record is from RNAcentral. Lineage: Eukaryota; Metazoa; Chordata; Mammalia; Primates; Hominidae.
UAGACUGGGAUCAGAACCAGACGGUAGC